UAAGUUAAGUAGUGUGAUGGUAUGUCGC
RNAcentral lists this non-coding RNA (28 nucleotides) under Bombyx mori (domestic silkworm). The record is from RNAcentral. RNAcentral also lists the same sequence under 1 other name. Lineage: Eukaryota; Metazoa; Arthropoda; Insecta; Lepidoptera; Bombycidae.